AAGUCGUAACAAGGUUUCCGUAGGUGAACCUGCGGAAGGAUCAUUAACACGUAUCCAACGUUAAACAACCCUGUGAACUUUCAACACCGCCGGAAUGAGAUUAAUUUCCAACUCCGGUGAAGGCAAGUGACCUGGCACCUGGACCACAUCAAAGCUCUGACAGAGUGCCUCUGGAUUGUGCUUGAAGGGUGACGCAGUAACGAUCGCUGGAGGCCCACACGGCCGGCGACUGGGUCAGCGAGCUAACGCUCCCUCAACCACUUAACAUGACGACAGUUCCUCUUUAACUUGAGUUGAGCUAUAACAAAAAACUAUACAACUGUUAACAAUGGAUAUCUUGGUUCUC
This 346-nucleotide unclassified non-coding RNA is filed under the name fungal sp. RNAcentral describes it as "partial internal transcribed spacer region". The stretch from base 1 to 46 matches the Rfam family "Eukaryotic small subunit ribosomal RNA", at positions 1786 to 1831 of the family's 1831-position model. The record is from RNAcentral. Lineage: Eukaryota; Fungi.